CCUACGGGUGGCAGCAGUGAGGAAUAUUGGUCAAUGGACGCAAGUCUGAACCAGCCAUGCCGCGUGCAGGAAGACGGCACUAUGAGUUGUAAACUGCUUUUGUACGAGGGUAAACGCAGAUACGCGUAUCUGUCUGAGAGUAUCGUAAGAAUAAGGAUCGGCUAACUCCGUGCCAGCAGCCGCGGUAAUACGGAGGAUUCAAGCGUUAUCCGGAUUUAUUGGGUUUAAAGGGUGCGUAGGCGGUCGGAUAAGUUAGAGGUGAAAUCCCGAGGCUCAACUUCGGAAUUGCCUCUGAUACUGUUCGUCUAGAGAGUAGUUGCGGUAGGCGGAAUGUAUGGUGUAGCGGUGAAAUGCUUAGAGAUCAUACAGAACACCGAUUGCGAAGGCAGCUUACCAAGCUACUUCUGACGUUGAGGCACGAAAGCGUGGGGAGCAAACAGGAUUAGAUACCCUAGUAGUC
This 460-nucleotide ribosomal RNA is filed under the name uncultured bacterium. Its description in RNAcentral is "partial 16S ribosomal RNA". It matches the Rfam family "Bacterial small subunit ribosomal RNA", at positions 338 to 795 of the family's 1533-position model. The record is from RNAcentral.